Molecule: long non-coding RNA, 1302 nt
Filed under: Zostera marina
Lineage: Eukaryota; Viridiplantae; Streptophyta; Magnoliopsida; Alismatales; Zosteraceae
Description: long non-coding RNA (ZMAR_LNC001282)
Source: RNAcentral
AAGUGUCUUUAAGUGGCUAAAGUUGCAAUCCGGCCCUCGUGAUUCUUUGUAUCUCGUAACUGCCUUUAAGUGGUGCAUUUUUUCUUUUUGACCUCACAGUUUCUUUCUGAAACGGUAUGACCUUUUGUUUUAUUUAUUUAUAAGUAGAUCCAGUUCAGUAUAGGAUUUUAUGACUAAUCACUCUGAUUACUCUUUUAAAGAGUUCCUACUUGUUUCAAGCUCUCCCCGAUACUGCAAUUUACAACAUAAGAACGAAGGCAGAGGUUGACAAAUUCACGGACGAAAUCUGGGCCUUUCUAAUCUGGGCUCUAUGGAAAGCGAACUUUUGUACGGUUAAGUAAUUGUGGGGCUUUGUGUUCGAUCACUUGUGUUCUAUGCAGUGAAAUGCCGGAAUCUACUGGUCGGGCAUCUAUUUUACACAUGCAGCUACUACAGUCGGGUCUGGAAGGACUUCUCAGAUAAAGUAGGUACGCUUCUGUGGGAAAGAAUGCACAUCCAACCUAACCAGCAUUAGAAGGAUUCAACAUGUUGGGGUUUAUUCUGGACGGCCCUAGCGGUGAGCAUCUGGCAAAUUUGGGGGGGAGACUGGAGAGGAAGAAAAGGUAAAUCGAAGACGUCAUAAGACCACCAGCCAUUGUCGCGGCAGAAUUCAUUCGGAAUCUUUAGAUAAUCUACAUGCAUAGCAAUUUCAAGGCACCAAAUAGCACUUCCUCAGAGGAAUUAUUGGUAACCAACUGUCUCUAAUCAGCUAGCUAAUGAUAAUUUGUAACAAAUCAAACUAAGUUUACAAUUUAAUAAAGUUGCUUCUUCAAAAAAAAAAAAUUGAUAUAAACUAGGUGUUAAAAAAAAAAAAAGAACACAAGUUGGGGAUUCCAAUAUUAAGAUAUGUCUAUCCAGAAAUAGAAAUGCUACAGACAAAAUAGCCCACCAUUAAUCAAGAAGAAAAAUUAGACGAUUCAUAAUUUAAUGUUACCACUACAUCUCUGUAAGCAAGCUUUUACUUUCUUUAACCUAAUUUAUAAAUAACCAAACAAUUGGGCAAUUGAGUAAAUGAGUAUCUCUCUAUUCUAUUUCCUGAUUUUUUUUAACUUGGGGGCAACUGAGCAUGUCAUCAUUUAUUUUCUUGCACAUGCAAUUACAAGAUCAAUGGUUUUCAUUUGCAGACUGUAGUGGUUCUGUUUAAUUUAUGGAAUAAAUCAGAAGAUGGAACUCAUUACCGGAUUCUGAACAAGUAAUUGCCACAGUUCCUCCUUGUACCACAGUACCAGGGAGAAAGCUACAGGAAGAAAUAAAUGAUAGGGC